Molecule: ribosomal RNA, 253 nt
Filed under: uncultured bacterium
Lineage: Bacteria
Description: partial 16S ribosomal RNA
Rfam family: Bacterial small subunit ribosomal RNA
Source: RNAcentral
UACGUAGGGUGCAAGCGUUAUCCGGAAUUAUUGGGCGUAAAGAGCUCGUAGGCGGUUUGUCGCGUCUGCUGUGAAAACCCGAGGCUCAACCUCGGGCCUGCAGUGGGUACGGGCAGACUAGAGUGCGGUAGGGGAGAUUGGAAUUCCUGGUGUAGCGGUGGAAUGCGCAGAUAUCAGGAGGAACACCGAUGGCGAAGGCAGAUCUCUGGGCCGUGACUGACGCUGAGGAGCGAAAGCGUGGGGAGCGAACAGG